UACGUAGGUCCCGAGCGCUGUCCGGAUUUAUUGGGCGUAAAGCGAGCGCAGGUGGUUUAUUAAGUCUGGUGUAAAAGGCAGUGGCUCAACCAUUGUAUGCAUUGGAAACUGGUAGACUUGAGUGCAGGAGAGGAGAGUGGAAUUCCAUGUGUAGCGGUGAAAUGCGUAGAUAUAUGGAGGAGCACCGGUGGCGAAAGCGGCUCUCUGGCCUGUAACUGACACUGAGGCUCGAAAGCGUGGGGAGCAAACAGG
RNAcentral lists this ribosomal RNA (252 nucleotides) under uncultured bacterium. RNAcentral's name for it is "partial 16S ribosomal RNA". It matches the Rfam family "Bacterial small subunit ribosomal RNA", at positions 524 to 776 of the family's 1533-position model. The record is from RNAcentral.